UCCUAAGUCUGUUCCCAGGUCAUGGCCAUC
RNAcentral lists this non-coding RNA (30 nucleotides) under Rattus norvegicus (Norway rat). Lineage: Eukaryota; Metazoa; Chordata; Mammalia; Rodentia; Muridae. The record is from RNAcentral.